UGUGGUGGAUUUUUCAGUGAAACUGGCAACACUGAACAAUAAUGUGCAGAUCGUGGAGGUGAAGAAUUUUCAGGAAGUGGUGUCUGUCGGUGGGAGUUAAAACUUUUGUAAAAUACGGAUAUGCACACUAAAAUCAUUGAAGCUGCUCAACGAAAAAGCUGCUAUCAGUAGGUGUUUCGUCCGAACAAAGGUUUCUUCCCCAACAAACUUCAAUGAUUUUAAUCAUCUGCUGAAUAGUUUGUCAUGGAGACUACAAUACGUAGCCUCAAAUUGUUGGAGGAGCAGGAAAGAUUAUGGCGCCAAGAAUAUGAGGAAAAAGAAAGGCGUUUAGAAGAGGAGUACCAGCGAGAGUUGGCCGAAGUUAGAGAAGCAUUUAAGAAAGCUGCUAAGCAAAUAGAGUUGGAGUUUGCUGCAAAAAGGAAUGAGGUGAAAAAACAAUUCGGUACUGAAAAUGCUAGUGAGGUUUUACAAUCGGAACAAUAUCCAAAUAAUGAUGCUAGCGUAUCAGCACCAGUUUGCAAUACCUCCCUAUUGAAAGGAAUCAUCCAUCAACAAGUUUGUGAGCGGCAACCAAAAGCAUUAUUUUCUAAUCGUUGUUUUGAUGCUCAAAACGAUUCACGGCAAACCAGUACAGCGCAAAACAGAAUUAAAGAAAAAAAUUGGAUUUGCCUUAGGCAUUUGAGUGGCGUACAAUUAAGUAUGGAACUAAUGGCGACGACAAAACUAGUGUGCAAUAUUGGAUGCAAGAAGUGUGACGAAAGAAUUUCGAUCAAUCAAUUCAAAGAAAGCGAUAUGAAAAUGAUGUUUACAGUGAUGGUUGUAAUUUAUGAUCCUGGAGGAAAUUUCGUACACGAAUUGUUCGGAUUUUGCAGAACAUUUUUGUUAUUGUUUAUUUUUAUCGUUUUUAUUAGUCUUAGUAUAAAAAAUUGUAUCAGGUAUUUAUAUGUCCAAUUAAGUAAAACAGAUUCAGUGAGUUACCAGUUUCAC
Long non-coding RNA from Aedes aegypti (yellow fever mosquito), 987 nucleotides. RefSeq lists it as uncharacterized. The transcript has 2 exons. Lineage: Eukaryota; Metazoa; Arthropoda; Insecta; Diptera; Culicidae. The record is from RefSeq and is a predicted model, not a curated record.